CCUACGGGUGGCAGCAGUGAGGAAUAUUGGUCAAUGGACGGAAGUCUGAACCAGCCAUGCCGCGUGCAGGAAGACGGCUCUAUGAGUUGUAAACUGCUUUUGUACAAGGGUAAACCUGAAUACGUGUAUUCCGCUGAAAGUACUGUACGAAUAAGGAUCGGCUAACUCCGUGCCAGCAGCCGCGGUAAGACGGAGGAUCCAAGCGUUAUCCGGAUUUAUUGGGGUUAAAGGGUGCGUAGGCGGAUUGAUAAGUUGGAGGUGAAAUUUCCGGGCUUAACUCGGGAACUGCCUCUAAUACUGUUGAUCUAGAGAGUAGAUGCGGUAGGCGGAAUGUAUGGUGUAGCGGUGAAAUGCUUAGAGAUCAUACAGAACACCGAUUGCGAAGGCAGCUUACCAAUCUAUAUCUGACGUUGAGGCACGAAAGCGUGGGGAGCAAACAGGAUUAUAUACCCUAGUAGUC
RNAcentral lists this ribosomal RNA (460 nucleotides) under uncultured bacterium. RNAcentral describes it as "partial 16S ribosomal RNA". It matches the Rfam family "Bacterial small subunit ribosomal RNA", at positions 338 to 795 of the family's 1533-position model. The record is from RNAcentral.